This 415-nucleotide ribosomal RNA is filed under the name uncultured eukaryote. RNAcentral's name for it is "bacterial SSU rRNA". It matches the Rfam family "Eukaryotic small subunit ribosomal RNA", at positions 592 to 1017 of the family's 1831-position model. The record is from RNAcentral.
CAGAAGCGUAUGCUAAAGUUGUUGCAGCUAAAAGCUCGUAGUUAAGUUUCGGGUUUUGGCGUUGAUCGAUUGGUUGGGGCAUUUUGUUCCUUUUGAUUUGUUGUCGACGCCGCCCUCCUCCAGCGGUAUAAUUCUUAUGUCGUUGGUCUCUCACUGUAACUAAAUUAGAGUGUUUCAAGCAGGUCGUUCUGACCGGUAUACUUCUUACGGGAUGAUAAGAUAGGACUAGCGUGCUAUUUUGUUGCGUUUGCACACGCGAGUAAUGAUGAAUAGGAACAGUUGGGGGUAUUCGUAUUCAGCAGCUAGAGGUGAAAUUCUUGGAUUUGCGAAAGACGAACUACUGCGAAGGCAUUUACCAAGGAUGUUUUCAUUGAUCAAGAACGAAAGUUAGGGGAUCGAAGACGAUCAGAUACCG